RNAcentral lists this antisense RNA (75 nucleotides) under Streptomyces sp. NRRL F-4711. Its description in RNAcentral is "ASpks sRNA". It matches the Rfam family "ASpks TB sRNA". The record is from RNAcentral. Lineage: Bacteria; Bacillati; Actinomycetota; Actinomycetes; Kitasatosporales; Streptomycetaceae.
CUUGACCGUGCCCAGGUGGAGGGGCCGCUCGGCGGUGUGCUCCCGCCCGUAGGUGGCGAGCAGCGCGUGUGCCUC